This 277-nucleotide ribosomal RNA is filed under the name Vibrio cholerae. RNAcentral's name for it is "partial 16S ribosomal RNA". It matches the Rfam family "Bacterial small subunit ribosomal RNA", at positions 336 to 605 of the family's 1533-position model. Lineage: Bacteria; Pseudomonadati; Pseudomonadota; Gammaproteobacteria; Vibrionales; Vibrionaceae. The record is from RNAcentral.
CUCCUACGGGAGGCAGCAGUGGGGAAUAUUGCACAAUGGGCGCAAGCCUGAUGCAGCCAUGCCGCGUGUAUGAAGAAGGCCUUCGGGUUGUAAAGUACUUUCAGUAGGGAGGAAGGUGGUUAAGUUAAUACCUUAAUCAUUUGACGUUACCUACAGAAGAAGCACCGGCUAACUCCGUGCCAGCAGCCGCGGUAAUACGGAGGGUGCAAGCGUUAAUCGGAAUUACUGGGCGUAAAGCGCAUGCAGGUGGUUUGUUAAGUCAGAUGUGAAAGCCCUG